Molecule: small nuclear RNA, 107 nt
Organism: Suricata suricatta (meerkat)
Lineage: Eukaryota; Metazoa; Chordata; Mammalia; Carnivora; Herpestidae
Source: Ensembl
GUGCUUACUUCUGUAGCACUUAUAUUAAAAUUACAAUGAUACAGAGAAGAUUAGCAUGGCCACCACACAAGAAUGACACAAAAAUACAGGAAGCACUCCAUAUUUUU